CUAAAUGAAACUAGAUACAAGCGAGCGGCGGACGGGUGAGUAACACGUGGGUAACCUGCCCAAGAGACUGGGAUAACACCUGGAAACAGAUGCUAAUACCGGAUAACAACACUAGACGCAUGUCUAGAGUUUGAAAGAUGGUUCUGCUAUCACUCUUGGAUGGACCUGCGGUGCAUUAGCUAGUUGGUAAGGUAACGGCUUACCAAGGCAAUGAUGCAUAGCCGAGUUGAGAGACUGAUCGGCCACAUUGGGACUGAGACACGGCCCAAACUCCUACGGGAGGCAGCAGUAGGGAAUCUUCCACAAUGGACGAAAGUCUGAUGGAGCAACGCCGCGUGAGUGAAGAAGGGUUUCGGCUCGUAAAGCUCUGUUGGUAGUGAAGAAAGAUAGAGGUAGUAACUGGCCUUUAUUUGACGGUAAUUACUUAGAAAGUCACGGCUAACUACGUGCCAGCAGCCGCGGUAAUACGUAGGUGGCAAGCGUUGUCCGGAUUUAUUGGGCGUAAAGCGAGUGCAGGCGGUUCAAUAAGUCUGAUGUGAAAGCCUUCGGCUCAACCGGAGAAUUGCAUCAGAAACUGUUGAACUUGAGUGCAGAAGAGGAGAGUGGAACUCCAUGUGUAGCGGUGGAAUGCGUAGAUAUAUGGAAGAACACCCAGUGGCGAAGGCGGCUCUCUGGUCUGCAAACUGACGCUUGAGGCUCGGAAAGCAUGGGUAGCGAACAGGGAUUAGAUACCC
RNAcentral lists this ribosomal RNA (734 nucleotides) under uncultured bacterium. RNAcentral's name for it is "bacterial SSU rRNA". It matches the Rfam family "Bacterial small subunit ribosomal RNA", at positions 70 to 787 of the family's 1533-position model. The record is from RNAcentral.